This 253-nucleotide ribosomal RNA is filed under the name uncultured bacterium. RNAcentral's name for it is "partial 16S ribosomal RNA". It matches the Rfam family "Bacterial small subunit ribosomal RNA", at positions 524 to 776 of the family's 1533-position model. The record is from RNAcentral.
UACGUAGGUGGCGAGCGUUGUCCGGAUUUACUGGGCGUAAAGAGCGCGCAGGCGGUCGUACAAGUCGCGUGUGAAAGCCCCCGGCUCAACUGGGGAGGGUCACGCGAUACUGUUCGACUCGAAGGCAGGAGAGGGAAGUGGAAUUCCCGGUGUAGUGGUGAAAUGCGUAGAUAUCGGGAGGAGCACCAGUGGCGAAGGCGACUUCCUGGCCUGUUCUUGACGCUGAGGCGCGAAAGCUAGGGUAGCAAACGGG